CCUACGGGAGGCAGCAGUAAGGAAUAUUGGUCAAUGGACGAAAGUCUGAACCAGCCAUGCCGCGUGAAGGAUUAAGGCCCUCUGGGUUGUAAACUUCUUUUAUCUGGGACGAAAAAAGGGUAUUCUUACUCACUUGACGGUACCAGAGGAAUAAGCACCGGCUAACUCCGUGCCAGCAGCCGCGGUAAUACGGAGGGUGCAAGCGUUAUCCGGAUUUACUGGGUUUAAAGGGUGCGUAGGUGGGCUUGUAAGUCAGUGGUGAAAUCUCCGGGCUUAACCCGGAAACUGCCAUUGAUACUAUAGGUCUUGAAUUAUCUGGAGGUAAGCGGAAUAUGUCAUGUAGCGGUGAAAUGCUUAGAUAUGACAUAGAACACCAAUUGCGAAGGCAGCUUACUACGGAUAUAUUGACACUGAGGCACGAAAGACGUGGGGAUCAAACAGGAUUAGAUACCCUGGUAGUCCACGCCCUAAACGAUGGAUACUCGACAUCAGCGAUACACUGUUGGUGUCUGAGCGAAAGCAUUAAGUAUCCCACCUGGGAAGUACGAUCGCAAGAUUGAAACUCAAAUGAAUUGACGG
Molecule: ribosomal RNA, 579 nt
Filed under: uncultured bacterium
Lineage: Bacteria
Description: bacterial SSU rRNA
Rfam family: Bacterial small subunit ribosomal RNA
Source: RNAcentral